RNAcentral lists this ribosomal RNA (40 nucleotides) under Aspergillus aculeatus. RNAcentral's name for it is "partial 28S ribosomal RNA". Lineage: Eukaryota; Fungi; Ascomycota; Eurotiomycetes; Eurotiales; Aspergillaceae. The record is from RNAcentral. RNAcentral also lists the same sequence under 1 other name.
UCAGGUAGGGAUACCCGCUGAACUUAAGCAUAUCAAUAAG